RNAcentral lists this ribosomal RNA (386 nucleotides) under uncultured bacterium. RNAcentral describes it as "bacterial SSU rRNA". It matches the Rfam family "Bacterial small subunit ribosomal RNA", at positions 28 to 415 of the family's 1533-position model. The record is from RNAcentral.
GACGAACGCUGGCGGCGUGCUUAACACAUGCAAGUCGAGCGGUAAGGCCCUUUCGGGGGUACACGAGCGGCGAACGGGUGAGUAACACGUGGGUGACCUGCCCUCAGCUCUGGGAUAAGCCUGGGAAACCGGGUCUAAUACCGGAUAUGACUCCAUGACGCAUGUUGUGGGGUGGAAAGCCUUGUGCGGCUGAGGAUGGGCCCGCGGCCUAUCAGCUUGUUGGUGGGGUGAUGGCCUACCAAGGCGACGACGGGUAGCCGGCCUGAGAGGGCGACCGGCCACACUGGGACUGAGACACGGCCCAGACUCCUACGGGAGGCAGCAGUGGGGAAUCUUGCGCAAUGGGCGAAAGCCUGACGCAGCGACGCCGCGUGAGGGAUGACGGC